AUUGAACGCUGGCGGCAUGCUUUACACAUGCAAGUCGAACGGCAGCGGGGGCUUCGGCCUGCCGGCGAGUGGCGAACGGGUGAGUAAUGCAUCGGAACGUGCCCAUGUCGUGGGGGAUAACGUAGCGAAAGCUACGCUAAUACCGCAUACGUCCUGAGGGAGAAAGCGGGGGGAUCUUUGGACCUCGCGCGAUUGGAGCGGCCGAUGUCGGAUUAGCUAGUAGGUGAGGUAAAGGCUCACCUAGGCGACGAUCCGUAGCGGGUCUGAGAGGAUGAUCCGCCACACUGGGACUGAGACACGGCCCAGACUCCUACGGGAGGCAGCAGUGGGGAAUUUUGGACAAUGGGGGCAACCCUGAUCCAGCCAUGCCGCGUGAGUGAAGAAGGCCUCGG
This 392-nucleotide ribosomal RNA is filed under the name uncultured bacterium. Its description in RNAcentral is "bacterial SSU rRNA". It matches the Rfam family "Bacterial small subunit ribosomal RNA", at positions 28 to 420 of the family's 1533-position model. The record is from RNAcentral.